ACCAUAUUUCCAUCAUUGCACUCCAUUAGUAUCGAGUGUUUGCCCAACUUGUCAUGUUUUUAUUCUGCAAGAGAUGUUCUGAAAUGCCCAUCCUUGAAAAAAAUUGAUGUGGUUGACUGUCCAAAGAUGGAAUUAUUAGCUUCAGCAUUUCGCUAUGAACAAGAUUCAAGCGUGAUUGUUGAGGGAAGUGAAGAAUCUGUUUAUAAGGGAGAUGUUGAUAUUUCCAUGGCUGNNNNNNNNNNNGUUGCAAUCCCAAGCUUAGAAGAAUUGAAAGUGGAAUGGAAAACCAUGAAGGAUAUGUGGCCAGAAAAAUUUCAAUCCAUGUUCUUGUCUGGACUGAAAGGCAUUGAGCUGACAUGUUAUCCUGGUGGAUGUGCACUUUUGCCAACUGAUUUCUUUCAAAUUUUAAUCAAUCUGGAGAAACUUGUUUUGAGAGAUGCUUCUCUUGAAGAAAAAACAUUUCAUGAAGCAAACAUUGGUGAGCAACUACAUCCCGAAUCAUGUAAGGUGCCUAUGCUCAAGCAUCUGAUGGAGAAGGACUCCCAGCAAGUCCCAGCUUCUCAAUAUCUGGAGACAGAAGCAAUGGAUUGUGGCAGACUGAAAAUUUUACAGCCAUUCACGGUUUCUUUCGAAAAUUUAACAACUCUGGAGGUAUCAAAUUGCCAAGGUCUAAUAAAUCUAAUGACUUCAAUUACAUCUAGAAGUCUUGUGCAACUUAGAAGAAUGAAGGUACAGAAAUGUGAAAUGAUGCAAGAAAUUGUAGCGAGUGAAACAGAUGAUGAAGAAGAAGAGAUUUGCUUCAGUCAACUACAAUAUUUGGAGCUUCAUGAUCUACCACGCCUCACAAGCUUUUGCUUUGGUAAUCCUGCCUUCAAUUUCCCAUCCUUGGAGGAAGUGAUCAUUAGAGCAUGUCCCAAUAUGAAGAUUUUUGCUAAAGAAGUUUUAAGCACUCCAAAGCUAUGGCGAGUUCAAACCGGAAAACAUAAAUAUGAGUGGGAAUGGGAAGGCAGCAUCAAUAACACCAUUGAAGCAUUAUUUGCACAUACGAAUGCUGAAGAAAUAGGGGAGGCCAGCGUUCAUAUGCGUGAGCUCCAAUGAGGCUGAUGUUACAUGUAAUUUGUGACAGAUUAUACUUAAUUUUCCGUUUGAGGGUACAUGGUGAAUUGGUUCUCUUAUGGCUGAAGUCUUUCAUUCAUGAGGAAGUGUUAGAU
Molecule: unclassified non-coding RNA, 1211 nt
Filed under: Hevea brasiliensis (rubber tree)
Lineage: Eukaryota; Viridiplantae; Streptophyta; Magnoliopsida; Malpighiales; Euphorbiaceae
Source: RNAcentral